RNAcentral lists this ribosomal RNA (502 nucleotides) under Pediococcus pentosaceus. RNAcentral describes it as "bacterial SSU rRNA". It matches the Rfam family "Bacterial small subunit ribosomal RNA", at positions 108 to 597 of the family's 1533-position model. Lineage: Bacteria; Bacillati; Bacillota; Bacilli; Lactobacillales; Lactobacillaceae. The record is from RNAcentral.
GAGUAACACGUGGGUAACCUGCCCAGAAGUAGGGGAUAACACCUGGAAACAGAUGCUAAUACCGUAUAACAGAGAAAACCGCAUGGUUUUCUUUUAAAAGAUGGCUCUGCUAUCACUUCUGGAUGGACCCGCGGCGUAUUAGCUAGUUGGUGAGGUAAAGGCUCACCAAGGCAGUGAUACGUAGCCGACCUGAGAGGGUAAUCGGCCACAUUGGGACUGAGACACGGCCCAGACUCCUACGGGAGGCAGCAGUAGGGAAUCUUCCACAAUGGACGCAAGUCUGAUGGAGCAACGCCGCGUGAGUGAAGAAGGGUUUCGGCUCGUAAAGCUCUGUUGUUAAAGAAGAACGUGGGUAAGAGUAACUGUUUACCCAGUGACGGUAUUUAACCAGAAAGCCACGGCUAACUACGUGCCAGCAGCCGCGGUAAUACGUAGGUGGCAAGCGUUAUCCGGAUUUAUUGGGCGUAAAGCGAGCGCAGGCGGUCUUUUAAGUCUAAUGUGA